UUCCGGUUGAUCCUGCCGGAGGCGACCGCUUUGGGAGUUCGAUUAAGCCAUGCGAGUCGUGAGUCUUAGGGACUCGGCAUACUGCUCAGUAACACGUGGAUAACCUGCCCUAUCGUCUGGAAUAACCUCGGGAAACUGAGAAUAAGGCCGGAUAGUUCACAAUGCCUGGAACGGUUUGUGAAUCAAGGUAGGAUGGGUCUGCGGCGUAUCAGGUUGUAGGGGGUGUAAAGGACCCCCUAGCCUUCGACGCGUACGGGUGUUGGGAGACAUAGCCCGGAGAUGGAUUCUGAGACACGAAUCCAGACCCUACGGGGUGCAGCAGGCGCGAAAACUUCACACU
RNAcentral lists this ribosomal RNA (340 nucleotides) under uncultured archaeon. RNAcentral's name for it is "bacterial SSU rRNA". It matches the Rfam family "Archaeal small subunit ribosomal RNA", at positions 1 to 356 of the family's 1478-position model. The record is from RNAcentral.